UAAAUGGAUCUUCCUCUUCAUCGUCCAAACCCUCAUCCAUCCUCAAAGAUUGGAGAUCUUAUUGUGUUUAUUUGAGAACAUAUAACCAAGCUUGGCCACAGAGGAUUGCAGCUGCUCGGCCUGAUUUCCUCUUCCAAGGCUGUGCUUUCCUUCCUCAUUCCAGUCCGAUGUGUGCCUACAUGGAUUUGCCUAUGUGGCUGUGGGUGUACGCGACCGUGUAUGUGUUCAAAUUAAAACGUACUGUUCAGUGUGUUUUUGUAUGCACACUUUUGCGCAAAGUUCAGCAAUCAAAGCACUUGUUUAGAUAACAGAAAAUGUGUUUCUUGCUGGCAUCGGCUCCUCCUCCCCAUCAACACCCCUUUUCUUUCUCUCAGCAGCACUUUGGUUUCCGGAGUGGCGCCAACUCUCCUGAUUUCUCCCUACGUCUAUCUAUUUUCCACCGCUCUAUCUUCACUAUCUCUGCCAGUCGUGAUUUUAGAAUGGGGUGUGACCAUAGCAGAGCAAAAAGCUGAAACAACAAACUGAGAACGCUGACACAGGCCAGGUCACCCAUACAGGGCUCAUAAGCAAGAACUGCUUGUUUGAAAGUAAGUUGGAGCUGCAGGCUUGGAGAAGAGGACUGAUGGUAAUAGAGGUCAGGGAGGUUUCAAGAAUCUAAUAAUGGAGGUUCCUUCAAGCUGAUAUUUCCCUUCAAUAAACUGCAACCUGACUGCCUUUAAUUCUCUUUUUUGUCCCUCUACCCAACACCCUCUAUGAAUAUUUUAAUUUCUCUUUAAACCCUGACACUCUUGGACUGACAUAAUCUUGCAGAGCCAGACCUAAUUUUGUCAAAUACACAGCAGUCUGGAUGAAUUUGAGUAUAAAAGUUGAUUCAAACGUAGGCAGAAAUCACAGUGGACUGUUAGAAAAGUGAGAAAAUGCAGAAGGAACUUUGUACCUAGACUACCUCGCUAACUACAUAGUAGGUAUUGUUUCCAAGUACGCACAGCUAAAAAAAAAAAUGUCUUCCUUGUUACUUAAACACCGAUUCACGGUUUUCUGCUUACGUCUAUGCAAAAUGAAGGC
Oreochromis niloticus (Nile tilapia) is the source of this 1065-nucleotide long non-coding RNA. RefSeq lists it as uncharacterized. NCBI's taxonomy places the organism in Eukaryota, Metazoa, Chordata, Actinopteri, Cichliformes, Cichlidae. The record is from RefSeq and is a predicted model, not a curated record. The transcript has 3 exons.